AGAGUUUGAUCAUGGCUCAGGAUGAACGCUGGCGGUCUGCUUAACACAUGCAAGUCGAACGGAAUCUUUCGGGAUUUAGUGGCGGACGGGUGAGUAACGCGUGAGAAUCUGCCUUCAGGUUCGGGACAACAGUUGGAAACGGCUGCUAAUACCGGAUGUGCCGAGAGGUGAAAGCUUAAGUGCCUGGAGAUGAGCUCGCGUCUGAUUAGCUAGUAGGAGUGGUAACGGCACCCCUAGGCGACGAUCAGUAGCUGGUCUGAGAGGAUGAUCAGCCACACUGGGACUGAGACACGGCCCAGACUCCUACGGGAGGCAGCAGUGGGGAAUUUUCCGCAAUGGGCGCAAGCCUGACGGAGCAAGACCGCGUGAGGGAAGAAGGUCUGUGGAUUGUAAACCUCUUUUGAUCGGGAAGAAGACAGUGACGGUACCGAUCGAAUCAGC
Molecule: ribosomal RNA, 441 nt
Filed under: uncultured cyanobacterium
Lineage: Bacteria; Bacillati; Cyanobacteriota
Description: bacterial SSU rRNA
Rfam family: Bacterial small subunit ribosomal RNA
Source: RNAcentral